Molecule: long non-coding RNA, 1669 nt
Organism: Lycium barbarum (goji berry)
Lineage: Eukaryota; Viridiplantae; Streptophyta; Magnoliopsida; Solanales; Solanaceae
Exons: 3
Source: RefSeq, a predicted model, not a curated record
GGGAAGGUGACGACGUUAUAUUCGCACUACCACCUGAUCAGCCGGCCAUAUGAUGGCGAUUAUGGCCACAGAGGCUGAUAUGAUAAUGAUUAUGCCCACAGAGGCCGAUAUGAUACGAUGGAAUGCCCACAGAUGCUUGACAGGCGUUAUAUAUGCAUAUAUAUGUAUGAUCAGGCGUUAUAUACAAAUAUAUAGAGUACUUAUGCAUAUCAUUAGCCCUCAAAGGCAGGUCAUAUAUACAGGUUGCAUUCCUUUUAUCCUACAUACUUUCAUGUCUUCUUUAUGUUACUUUCAUGCCUUACAUGCUCAGUACUUUGUUCGUACUGACGUCCCUUUUCUGGGGGCGCUGCGUUUCAUGCCCACAGGUUUAGAUAGACAGGUUGACAAUUCGCCUCCGUAGGUUGCUGUUCAACUGAUAUUGCAACACUCCCCUUGUCUCGUAGUUGCUGUUGUGUUUUGGUAUGUUAUAUUUUUGUGUACAUACAGGUAUGGCGGGGCCGUGUCCUGACCUUGCUAUGUCAUGCACUCUAUUUGUUAUACCCCGUACAUUUAUACGACGAAUUAUCCGCAAGCAAAUCGACUCAAGUUAAAGGCGGAAUUAUUUUCGGACAUGAAAUAAGAGCUUUUAAUUUUCAACUUUGAUUAUCACAAAAAUUGCUUAUAAAUUUUAUUUAGCAUAAAAAUAUUAAUAUUGGAGAUUAGGAAUUAAUUUAAUUAUCGAAAGUGGGCCCCACGACACGUGGCGAGAUUUGGUUGGCCUUGAAUAAAGAUGGACACAUGUCAUGAAAAUUGACACAUGUCCACUUUGUAAAGAUUAUAUAAAUGAGCAUAAGUGGAUGACAACACUACAAUUAAUCUUGCAAAUUAGGUUUUAGAGAGAGGGGCUCUCAAGCCUAGAGAGAGAGAGAGAGGGGUUCGGGCACUGUUCACGGCGACUGUUCACAGCGGCGCCACUGUUCACGGGCACUGUUCACGGCCAGCCCAUUUUUGCCCCCUUCUACACAAUUAAUUGGAGAGAUUUGAAGAUCAAGAGGAGGAAAAAGAUGGAGCUCAUGGUAGCCAUGGCAACUCACGGCCAUGACUUUCUUGAAGACAUUUCAUGGUGAAAAAUUAGAGCUUGUCUCUAAGACCUUGGGGAGCCCGAGGCGUAGAUUUAGAUUGGCUAUCUUGGAAGUGCGUUCGAGGUACAUACGACAGGUUCGCUGAUCCGCCCGCUUAGGAUCUUAUUCUGCUAUUCAGAGGCGCUCUCUUAUCCGGAGCCUAUAUUUUUGGUACAGUCUCCUGCUAUUGUAUAAAUGUACGUCACUCAGGGGUACGACGGGGCCCUGUCCCGUCAUAUGAUUCUGUCGGUCUGUUUAGAGGUCUGUGGACAUGUUUGUGGGUUGGGGGUCUUCCUGUAUGAAUGCGUGUAUAUGUUGUGUUUGGGCGAUCCCAUUCGCCGCGGCGGCCGGUCUGCAUAUGUUUAAAUGUUGCUUUGUUGGCCCUGUGUGGCCUUUGUUGGUAUUUUCUGUGCGUAGGGUAUAUUGGAUAGUCCGUAAAACAAAGGAAACUCUGCCGAAAUUUUUCUGGAAAUUAUCUAAAUUUAAAAUAUAGUCUUGUCGGCUUAUGCUAUAUACUGGAAUACGGUUAAUAAAAUCUGAGAUAGCAUUUGAUAGAUGUGUCUGGGUGC